GAUGGAUAGGAUAAUUUAAAUAAUAUAAUUGUGGUGUAAGUGGAAUUAUGAUAAGAAAAAAUUUUUUUAAUAUUAGUAGCAGGAUGUGAAAAGAAAAGAAAAGAAGAGAGUGUGAGUACUGAGAAGGAAAUAAAAUUAAGGGAAUAUAAGUAAUAGUAAAAUUUUAUUUUUGUACCUUUUGCAUAAUGGUUUAAUUAUAUUGAAGUUAAAUAAUUGAUUCUCGAAGUAAAAAGAUUUAUCUUACAUAUAUAUAUAUAUAUAUAUAUAUAUAUAUAUAUAUAUAUAUAUAUAUAUAUAUAUAUAUAUAUAUAUAUAUAUAUAUAUAUAUAUAUAUAUAUAUAUAUAUAUAUAUAUAUAUAUAUAUAUAUAUAUAUAUAUAUAUAUAUAUAUAUAUAUAUAUAUAUAUAUAUAUAUAUAUAUAUAUAUAUAUAUAUAUAUAUAUAUAUAUAUAUAUAUAUAUAUAUAUAAUUAAUUAAUUUAAAUAUAGGGGAUAAGCUCUAUGUGGGUGUGAAAAUGAUUUUAUUUGAGUUUAUAUGGAAGUUGAAUUAAUAGUUUAGCUUUUUAAGUGGUUAUAUAAAUUAAAGGUUUUUAAUGAAAUUAGAUAAUAAUAAGUUUUUAUUAAUUUAUGUUAAUUAAUUAUAAUGUUAAAAUGAGUAGAUUUAAAUUUUAAUUGUUUAAUGAUAUUAUUUGGAUUUAUAGUUAUAAAUAAUUAUGUAUUGUUAGGUGAUGAAUUAAGGUAAAGGAAUUCGGCAAAAUAAUAAUUUCGCCUGUUUAUCAAAAACAUGUCUCUUUGAUUAUGUGAAUAUAAAGAGUUGUGCCUGCUCGGUGAAUUGUUUUUAACAGCUGCGGUAUUAUAACUGUACUAAGGUAGCAUAAUAACUUGCCUUAUAAAUUGGGGCUAGAAUGAAUGGUUUGACGAAAGUUAUGCUGUCUCUAUCUUAAUUAGUUGAAUUUAAUUUUUAAAGUGAGAAAGCUUAAAUGAUUUAAAGGGACGAGAAGACCCUAUUGAGCUUUAAAUAUUAAUUUAAAUAGAAAUAGUUAUUUAAGCUUAAUAAUUUUGAUUGGGGUAAUCAAGGAGUGAAUAGUUUUAUAUCUUCCUUAAAUAAUUGUUAAUAUUAUGAUAAUAUAAAUAAAUAAAUAAACCGAUUUUUUUUGCUUUUAAGAUAAGUUACCAUAGGGAUAACAGCGUAAUUUUUUUUGAGAGUUCAUAUUAAAAAAAGAGAUUGCGACCUCGAUGUUGGAUUAAAAUUACCUUAAGGUGGAGAAGCUUUAUUUGGUGAAUCUGUUCGAUUUUUAAAAUUUUACAUGAUCUGAGUUCAAACCGGUGUAAGCCAGGUUGGUUUCUAUCUUUUAAGUUUAAAUUUAAUUUAAUUUAGUACGAAAGGAAUAAUUAAAAUUAAUUUAGAUAAUUAAUUAAAAUAAAUAAUGAAAAAA
RNAcentral lists this ribosomal RNA (1434 nucleotides) under Tremoctopus violaceus. RNAcentral describes it as "16S ribosomal RNA". The stretch from base 724 to 1434 matches the Rfam family "Eukaryotic large subunit ribosomal RNA", at positions 1891 to 3084 of the family's 3401-position model. Lineage: Eukaryota; Metazoa; Mollusca; Cephalopoda; Octopoda; Tremoctopodidae. The record is from RNAcentral.